Molecule: small nuclear RNA, 24 nt
Filed under: Arabidopsis thaliana (thale cress)
Lineage: Eukaryota; Viridiplantae; Streptophyta; Magnoliopsida; Brassicales; Brassicaceae
Description: snRNA_02132
Source: RNAcentral
UUUGAAAAGUAUCCAACCCUAUAA